This 99-nucleotide ribosomal RNA is filed under the name Bacillus wiedmannii. RNAcentral's name for it is "16S rRNA. Bacterial SSU". It matches the Rfam family "Bacterial small subunit ribosomal RNA", at positions 1 to 94 of the family's 1533-position model. The record is from RNAcentral. Lineage: Bacteria; Bacillati; Bacillota; Bacilli; Caryophanales; Bacillaceae.
CUUUAUUGGAGAGUUUGAUCCUGGCUCAGGAUGAACGCUGGCGGCGUGCCUAAUACAUGCAAGUCGAGCGAAUGGAUUGAGAGCUUGCUCUCAAGAAGU